GAUCGGUAGGUUUUCACUCGACCGGUGAGUUUUCACUCGGAUGGUAAGCUUUCACUCGACCAAAAACAUAGCCUGAUCUUUAUUUGCCUCUCCAGGUUACAUACGACCUCGGAUUGAGACGAAUUUUAUAUGAAAAUCGAUCGGCUCGACGAGACGAAACUUUUUCUUGUUGAAGGUUUUUCGAUUCAAGGACUUCUUAAGGGCCUAAUUACUCGCGCGACCCAUCAGACAUGGCGUGUGAUACUUUGCGCCAGAUUUCCACUCAGCUUCGGCCUGCAGUGUAUUGCCUCUAACUUUUGCAUAUGAACUCGGAUUGAGAUGAUUUAUAUAUCAAAAUCGAUCGCCUCGACGAGACGAAGACAAUUCCUUUAGAAUACUCCUUCAUCCGAGGUCGUCUUAAGGGCAUGAUCGGCCGAAAACUACUCGGAAUGUUGAAUUUUGUCACUCGGAGUACAACUUCGGCCACCGAGAUAAGGUCGAAUGGCGAUAAGUUAAACACCAAAGUUAUUCCACUCGGCGACCUGAAACUUUGCAUGCCGAAAACUCUUUUACUUGAGGCCACCUUACUUGACUUUUGUACCUUGCCAAAAUCCGAUGUCAACACAUGCCCCCCUUGUUUUUCGGCAAAGCUUGCAUGCCGAAAAAUAAUAUGCACUGUGUUUGUUCUAAGGACGAUGUCAACGCUCCAUCGGCCAUUUAUUUUUCUCAGGGCGAUAAUUAUGUAUCGGCCAUGUUUGUGCUAAGGGCGAUAAUUGUAUAUCGGCCAUUGCCUACUCAGGCUUCCUGCCACACACUCGGGUGGUACUUCUUCAAAUAUUUUCCGUUGAGAGCUCGAGGUAACAAUGCCCCUUGUAUUGAUUCCACCAAAUAUGAAUUUCCGGGAACAACCCUUGUAAUCCUAAAAGGACCUUCCCAACUUGGAGACCACUUCCCAAAUUUUCUAUCUCUUGAACCAAUCGGCAGAAUCACUUUCCAAACGAGAUCACCAACUUGAAAAUUCUUCAACUUGACUUUCUUAUUGUAAGCUCUUGCUACCCUCAACUUAUCUCUCUCUAUGGACUCCAAAGCAACCAAACGUUUAUCGGCAACCUCAUCAAUAUUGUCCAUCAUUAAGUUAUAAAAGUCUACUGCCGAUAAAUCAUUUUGUUUGGCUAUUCUCAAAGCAUUCAAAUUUACCUCCACUGGUAAAACAGCCUCCUGACCAUAUACUAGCUCAUAUGGAGUCAUCUUCGUAGCAUCAUGUCUUGAAAUUCUGUGUGCCCAUAAAGCUUCAGACAACAACUCAUGCCAUCUCCUCGGAUUAUCCUCAAUCUUCUUCUUGAUGAGCUUGAUUAGAAUUUUAUUGCUAGACUCAGCUUGUCCAUUAGCUUGGGCAUAAUAUGGAGAGCAAUUGAGCAACUUUAUAUUAUAAGAUUCGGCAAACUCUCUGACUUGGUGUGACAUAAAAGAUGAACCUUGAUCUGUAGUUAAUGUUUGAGGAAUACCGAAUCUAUGAAUAAUGUGUUCGGUUAUGAAUCGAAUUACCUCCGUAUGUGUCAUGUUCUUGAGAGGUACUGCUUCAGACCAUUUAGUGAAAUAAUCAGUUGCCACCAAUACGAACCGAUGCCCUUUUGAGGAAGACGGGUGGAUUUGUCCAAUGAAAUCUAAACCCCAACCUCUGAAAGGCCACGGUUUGAUAAUAGGAUGUAACAUAGCAGCAGGAGCCAAAUGAAUAUCACCAAACUUUUUACAAGCUUCACACCCUUUAUAAUAUCUGAAGCAAUCAUUAAUCAUAGUCGGCCAAUAAAAUCCAGCACGUUGCAAUAACCAUUUCAUCUUGGGAGCCGACUGGUGAGUGCCACAAAUACCUUCAUGUACUUCUCCCAUAGCAACUCUUGCCUGGUCCUCAUCCAAACACUUUAGAAGAACAUCAUCGACUGUUCGGCGAUAAAGACCAUCAUCUCUCAUUGUAUACUUGAAAGCCAUACGCCGAACAGCCCUGUCUACCCUUUCACUCGGAUUGCACAAGUAAUCAACAAUGGGCUUUCUCCAGUCGGAAUUAUCACCUGCACUAGAUUUUUUGUUAAUGGCCGAAUCAGUGGGUUCAGGUUCGGCCUCUCCCAUAUUGGCAAGACAAGACAUUGGUCUUUGAGAGAUAUGAAACAUGCCAUGAUCAACAUGAUAUCCAGAUGCUUGCUGUGCCAACUCAUUUGCUUUCCAGUUGUCAUGUCUAGAUAUAUGUGCAAUGCUAAAACAAUCCAAAGUAGAAAUUAUAUCUAGACAUUUAUCAAGAUAAACAUUAAGUGAUUCGUCAAAACACUGAAAGACUUUGGAUAUUUGCUGCACCUCUAGUAACGAAUCACCGUAAGCCUCAAUAUGUGUAACACCUAUAGCAAGUAACAUCUCUAGACCGAAUAACAAUGCUUCAUAUUCGGCUUGAUUGUUUGUGCAAAAAUAUUCUAAGCGGCAUGAGGCUUCAAAAACAGCACCAUGAGGAGAUAUAUAAACAAUACCAACACCUUGGCCAUUGCUACAAACUGAACCAUCAAAGUAUAAUCUCCAUGGCACUAAUGAAACAAGGUUCAUAUCAACAUCAUGCUUGUCAUCAAUCCGAUGUUCAACAAUGAAAUUAGCAACAAUUUGGCCUUUCAUGGAUUUUAGAGAUUCAUAAGCCAAAUCAUACUCAAUCAAAGCAUAAGCCCACUUGCCAAUUCUACCACUAAGAAUUGGCCUAUGCAACAUGUACUUAAUGACACCGGUUUGACAAGCUACUACACAAGCACUCGGCACUAGGUAAUGUCUCAAUUUUGUGCAAGCGUAAUAUAAGCAUAGACAUAGUUUUUCAAUAAAUGUAUACCUUGUCUCGGCGUCCAAUAAACGUCUGCUCAAAUAUGUAAUGGCAUGCUCUUUUCCUUCGGUAUCUUGAGUUAAAACAGCACCAAUAACACCUUCCUCUGCUGCGAUAUAAAGUUUAAAAGGUUCUCUAUGCUUGGGUGCUUUCAUCACCGGAGGAGUGCACAAAUAAUUCUUGAUCAUAUCAAAGGCUUCUUGCUGUUUUGCCCCCCAAGUGAAAUCAACAUCAUUCUUUAACCGAAGGAUAGGAGUAAAUGCAUCAACUUUCCCUGACAGAUUAGCUAUGAACCUUCUCAAAUAAUUGACCUUGCCAAGGAACUUUUGCAUAUCUCUCUUGCAUGUUGGAGCCUCCACUUUCUGUAUGGCCUCUAUCUUUUUGGGAUCGAUUUCGAUGCCAUCUUCAUGAAUAAUGAAACCCAAAAAUUUGCCAGCUGACACGCCAAAUGCACACUUCAAAGGAUUCAUCUUCAGUCCAUACUUUUUCAUUCUUUCAAAAGCUAAACGCAAAUCGGCCAAGUGAGAUUCAAAAGCAUCCGAUUUGACAACAAUAUCAUCAAUAUAAACUUCAAGUAUGACACCGAGUAAAUCAUGAAAAAUCAAAUUCAUAUCCCUCUGAUAUGUGGCCCCAGCAUUUUUCAAUCCGAAUGUCAUCACUGUCCACUCGAAUAAACCAAGGAAACCAGGACAUCGGAAAGCUGUUUUGUACAUGUCCUCUUCGGCCAUAAAAAUUUGAUUGUAUCCGGCAUUACCAUCUAGAAAGCUAAUAACCUUAUGUCCAGAAGCAUCAUUAAUAAGCAUAUCGGCUAUUGGCAUGGGAUACUCAUCUUUGGGUGUAGCCCUAUUCACAUCUCUGAAGUCAAUGCACACCCUCAACUUGCCGGAUCUCUUCUUCUCUACUAGGACAAUGUUAGAAAUCCACUCGGCAUACCUGCAAGGUCGAAUGAAUUUAGCUUCAAGCAGUCGACCGAUCUCUUCCUUGAUCCGGUCAUAUGUUUUCGGAUUAAACUUUCUGGCCGAUUGUUUAUAAGGUCUAAAACCGGCCUUUAUAGGCAACCGAUGCUCCACUAGCUCUCGGCUCAACCCUGGCAUCUCAUGAUAUUCCCAUGCAAAGCAACAAACGUAUUCUUUCAAUAGCUCGAUUAACUUAGUUUUACAAUCGGCUUUCAAAUUUUUGUUUAUAAAUGUCGGUCGACUGACUGAUCCGUCUCCGAUAUCUACCUCUUCUAACGGAUCGGCCGAUGUAAAACCUUGUCCAAGUUUAUCCAUGUCAUCCAACUCCUCAACAGACUCAUACAUAUCCUUCUCGCUGGACCGAUAUUUUGCAAGACGUUUUUGUAACCACUCGGAAUUAGGAUCCAUUUAAACAUAUCAUACCUUGGAGCCGAUUGCAUUCAGUCGGUUUUAAAGACACGGGCACAAAACCAUUUUUGGUCGCACUGAGAAAAUCAAACUCUGAUAAAUCACGUCCCGUCAAGCAAGUAGCAUUGGGAUGUUGCCAAUCCACCGGUGCAUCGGCCAAAGCAACACAAGCUGAAUUAUCCGCAUGAAUGAUUUCCACUUCGUCAUCAACCCAUUGAAUCAAAAACUGGUGCAUAGUGGACGACACGCACUGGUUUGCAUGAACCCAAUCACGUCCUAGUAUGACGUUGUAGUUACCUUGCACAUCAGCGACAAAGAAUGCAGUAGCCAAAGUUUUGCUUCCGACUGUAAGCUCCACAUACAUCACACCUUUGGCUUCAGUUUUUUCUUUGCCUUCAAAUCCGUUGAGCACCAUAUUGGUCUUGAUCAAUUCUUCAUCAGGCAAACCCAAUUUCUUGAAGACCGAAUAGGGCAUAAGAUUUACCACAGCACCACCAUCAACAAGCAUCCGAGUGAGCGGAGACCCAUUGAUAUGACCUCUGAGAUAUAAUGGUUUCAGAUGCGUUACUGGUUCUUUUGGCUUCUCGAAUAUUGCAUUUUUAGGGCCAAAAUCCAGCUGAGCCACUUCCCCUUCCUCAUCUACAGCAUGAAACUCAGCAGGUAAGUAAUACACCAUAUUGAUAUCCAUACCUUCAUGAACCGGUGCAGAUUCAUAGUCCAAUAUAUCAGCCUCUUCUUCAAGUGGAUCGACCGAUUCUGAAAUCUGUCCGAGUGAAGGAGAGGUAAGAAGUGUCACAGACGAUGUAAUAGCUGUCGCAUCGUCCUCUUUGGGUGGUGUGGACACUUCUGUGAUAGAUGUAGAAGCUGAUGUAUCUUGUAUUUGUUUUGGCCUCCACACUUUUUUUGCUGGAACCAUGGGCCGAGUGUUAUUGAACAACUUAUCCCUUUGCUUCUCGGCCUCCUGCUCCGCCAUCUCUUGACUCCUUAACCUUUGUAGUUUCCUCUUCUGUGUCUUUGUUAGCCCUGGAGGACACCACUUUGGCCGAGUGUAUUUAGCAUCUCUCACCUUUACUUGGCUGGUGCUUGCUUCAUGGUCAUUAGCCGAGUGCUUUGGCGCGAUAGAAAGUAUCGGCUCAGUUGAGUGAUUAUGCACAGUCGACUGCUGUAUGGGGAAUGUUUCGGUGCCCAAGAUAAGUGAGUCGACAUCCAUUUUCUCCUUGCCUUUGCCCGACUCAACUGCUGCAACACUUGGUGACUUAACACGCCAUUCCUUUCGAUUUUCCAGAUGCAUGAAAUUUCCACUCGGGCGCACCUUUUUACUCUGAUGGAAUCCACUCGGAUUGAUGUCACUCGGAUGGUAUCCACUCGGAUGGUACUCAGUCGGAUGGAAUCUACCCAUCCACAUUUUUUCACUCGGAUAGCUUCCACCUGGGUGCAUUCUUACACUUGGAUAAUUUCCAUCCGGUCGCAUAUUUUGACCAGCCGACUGAUAGUUACCAAUGUUGAGUCGACCAUUAUAUGAGUAAUCAAUUCGAUCCCACACAGAUUGCCUCUGCUCUUCUGAAAACUGCGCCCUCGGUCCACUCGGUUUUGUGUACCGACUGAACAUAUCAACUGAUGGUGACCUUGGUCGUUUCAGAUGAGUCGGUCGAUUGAAACUAGAAUCAGCCGACUGAUUAGCAUAUUUGGACAGCAACAUAUCAAAAGUUGGCUUGAUCCGCUUGCGUUGCACUUUAGCUUCAUUCUUCUUCCACUUGCCAACUUCUGGACUCUUGGGCUUGACAAAUUUAACACGAGUAUUUUCUUGCACUUGCGGUUGCCCCCCGAGUGUAGGAUUCUUGAUGGUGAUUUUGAUCACUUCCUUGCCAUCGGGUUGCUUAUCAAGCACAACCUGUCUCCCCAAGACCUUGUUGUCUUCCUUGUCUUUCCUGGGCUCACCAACAAUGACAUUAGCUUUAUUAGCAGAUUCGGCUACCUCCGGCCGAAUGAGUAACUUCUUCCCUUCUAAAUCCAUGGCGUUCAUUGGAAAGGGUUGUUUAUCAACUUGCAUCUCAGAAAAGUUCAAUCGUCCGUCAUUAAUGGCCGAUUGUAUCUGUCGUUGAAAAACAUUGCAAUCAUUAGUAGCAUGAGAAAAAGAAUUAUGAUACUUGCAAUAAGCACGCCGUUUCAGCUCUUGAAACGGCGGUAAAGUAUGAGAUAUUCUAAUAAUCUUAGCCUGCAGCAAAGCAUCAAAUAUUCUAUCACACUUAGCAAUGUUAAAAGUAAACUUCAUCUCUUCAUCACGAUUCUUAUGAAUCGGUUUCAGAUCAUUGCAAGUAAAGGGUUUGGCCUUAGAUGGCCAAACAAAUUCAGUAGAAAAAACAUCACCCUCAUCGUCCGAGUGAUCACUGUCAUAUUCCACCAUAUUCAUCUUUGGACGACCGGCUUUGUAUCUAUGCACUUCUUUGAGGUCUUUGCUUCGGCUUUCCUGAGCCAAAGCCCUUUGUAAGACUUGGUUGAUGUUUAAGAACUCGUAGCCUUCUAGCUUUUCUCUAAUGGGAGUUCUCAAACCACUCAGCACUAGGUCUGCCAAGUCUCUCUCGGUUAUCACCAAACUAAAACACCGGUUUUUCGUAUCUCUGAAUCUCUUGACGUAAUCGGAGACUGAUUCAUCAUGCUUCUGCUUAACCGAUGUUAGAUGUGACAACUUGAGUUCAUUGUCGCUGCUAUAAAAGUGAUCAUGAAAUUUCUGCUCUAGCUGCGACCAAACUCGAAUGGAACCAUGUGGUAAAGAAGAAAACCAUGAAAAUGCGGUACCAGUUAAUGACAAAGGAAAUAAACGCACUUUCAACUCAUUCAGUGAGCCUGCCUCACCCAAUUGUGCUAAGUAUUGACUAACAUGCUCCCAUGUGGUUUUUGUGCCCUCUCCAUUGAACUUAACAAAAUCUGGAAUUUUAUAUCCUGGAGGGCACUGGAUAGCAUCAAAGUACUCGGGGUACGGCUUUUGGUAAAUCCGAUUCCGAGGUAACUCAACUCCAAAAUUUUCUCGAAGCAUCUUAGCCAUCUCCUCUCUAAGAUUAGCUAAACCAUCAUCCAUAGUGGACGAUGAAGCUUGUGGCAGUGGCAUAGGAGGGGUAGGGUUACUAGCUGUAGGUAGGAAUUGUGGCAUGUAUGUCGACCCAUAAUUUGGUAGUGGUCGAGUGGUUGUAGCUGUAGGUAGGGUUUGGUUCGGCGUCACCACCGAACCUGGCAUGCUCAUAAUAGGAUUAAUGGGUGCAGCCACAAUCUGAUUUGUUUGGGUAGGAUAAUAAGUCAUCGGCACGGGAGGCGCCGAUGAGAUAGGUAAAGCCAGAUUAGGGUUUUGCACACUAGCAGCUACACCAUCAUUACCACUAGUCGAUUGAGAUGUAUUCUUCUGAGCAUUAGUAUUUUCUAUGAAAGUUUGAUAGACUAGAUUGUUACCAUCAGCAAUACGACUUUCAAUCUCAGCCCACUGCUCAGGAGAAAAGGUAGUACUUACAGAGGGUUUAACCUGCUCGGCUUGCAAAGGAGGGAACUUGAUUUCUUCAAUCGGAGUGAUGUUGCCUUGGCGAUCCUUCUUGAACUUUGCAAGGAACUCCUGCAAGUCCUUCUCCUCGCGCGCCUUCUUGUACUCCUCAUAGACUUGGUGAUGAUCGGCCGAUAUCUCAUCAAGACUGGGCUUAAUGAUGUUAUCGGCGUCUACCUCAGAUGGCUUGGGAAGAUCGGACAUGGUGGAUGAUGAUGAUUGAUCUUCGGUCCCCAGCGGAGUCGCCAAAAAGUGUUUUGACACACGAACACGUCACGUGUACCCUCGACGCCGGGGGUGAUGCACCGCAGCUCACGUCGAAGGAGACCCGACCGACAGCGCGAUAUGCAAGACAGUCGGCGGGUGCUUUUGCAGACCCGAAACCCCGCGCACCCGGGAGGGACCCCGUCAGGGAUUGCGGCGGCUAUGGGCUGCCCUAGGUCGAUUCGCUCGCCCCUAGAGCCUCGGGAUUCGCAGCUCUCAAACACGAAGAACAGCGAAGAACGAGAUAGAAAAACGGUGGAGAGAUAAAAAGUAGACAGGAAAAAGUAGUAUAUUGAUUUGUUCGAUUGUGUGUUGUUCAAUCGGCCGUCACCCCCAACAUAUAUAAGAGGCGGCUGGACUUCCCGUACAAGUAAAGGAUUCAUCUAGGCUUUCCUUACAAGAAAAAUUACAUCAAUUCACGUCCUAGAGUCCUAGUUCUAUUCCAACUCGGAUCCAGUCUGAAUCUGGCCCAACUUCUGUCUUCCUCCGUGUGCAGGCCGCCGAGCCUCCAUAUGACCUCCGAUCAAGAUGGCCCAAAUACCAAACUUGUGCGCCUCGACGAUAUGAACAACUCUCAUGUUGAUCACUUUUUCAAAUAAGGCCAUCUUGAAUACUUUUCGAGGUCAUCUUUACCUUCCAGUCGGACUCGGUCUUGCGGUAGACUGAAUUAUCCGAGUCUUGUAGUGAAUUUGCAGGCCAUAUACUAUCUCUGAUGACGAUGACUCCAAAAGCAAAGUUUACCGUCUUGACGAUACACACAACUUCUGUAUUGAACACUUCUUCAUCCGAGAUCAUCUUGAUAAACUUUUGGGCACAUGUUCAGUUUCACUCGGAUUUGAGCUCAUCCACUCGGAUUUUAGAGUCUUUCACUCGGAUGGUCCGACUGGACUUUUCAAUCGGAUGACUAUAUUUUCACUCAGAAGACAAUCAAUCGGUAGGUUUUCACUCGACCUUUUACUCGAUCGGUAGGUUUUCACUCGACCUUUUACUCGAUCGGUAGGUUUUCACUCGACCUUUUACUCGAUCGGUAGGUUUUCACUCGACCUUUUACUCGAUCGGUAGAUUUUCACUCGACCUUUUACUCGAUCGGUAGGUUUUCAUCCGAAAGGUAAGCUUUCACUCGACCGGUGAGUUUUCACUCGGAUGGUAAGCUUUUCACUCGACCGGUGAGUUUUCACUCGGAUGGUAAGCUUUUUCACUCGACCAAAAACAUAGCCUGAUCUUGAUUUGUCUCCCCAAGUCUUAUACGACCUCGGAUUGAGACGAAUUAUAUAUGAAAAUCGAUCGGCUCGACGAAGCGAAACUUUUUCGUGUUGAAGGUUUUUCGAUCCAAUGCCGUCUUGAAGGCCAAAUUGCUCGCGCGACCCAUCAGACAUGGCGUCUGGUACUUCGCGCCAUAUUUCCACUCAGCUUCGGCCCGCAGUGUAUUGCCUAUAACUUUUGCAUAUGAACUCGGAUUGAGAUGAUUUAUAUAUCAAAAUCGAUCGCCUCGACGAGACGAAGACAAUUCCUUUAGAGUACUCCUUCAUCCGAGGUCGUCUUGAAGGCAUGGUCGACCGAAAACCACUCGGAAUGUUGAAUUUUGUCACUCGGAGUACAACUUCGGCCACCGAGAUAAGGUCGAAUGGCGAUAAGUUAAACAUCAAAGUUAUUCCACUAGGCGACCUGAAACUUUGCAUGCUGAAAACUCUUUCACUUGAGGCCAUCUUACUUGCCUUUUGUACCUUGCCAAAAUCCAAUGUCAACACAUGCCCCCCUGUUUUUCGGCAAAGCUUGCAUGCCGAAAAAUAAUAUGCACGGUGUUUGUUCUAAGGACGAUGUCAACACUCGAUCGGCCAUUUAUUUUCCUCAGGGCGAUAAUUAUGUAUCGGCCAUGUUUGUGCUAAGGGCGAUAAUCGUAUAUCGGCCAUUGCCUACUCAGGCUUCCUGCCACACACUCGGGUGGUACUUCUUCAAAUAUUUUCCGUUGAGAGCUCGAGGUAACAAUGCCCCUUGUAUUGAUUCCACCAAAUAUGAAUUUCCAGGAACAACCCUUGUAAUCCUAAAAGGACCUUCCCAACUUGGAGACCACUUCCCGAAUUUUCUAUCUCUUGAACCAAUCGGCAGAAUCACUUUCCAAACGAGAUCACCAACUUGAAAAUUCUUUAACUUGACUUUCUUAUUGUAAGCCCUUGCUACUCUCAACUUAUCUCUCUCUAUGGCAUUCAAAGCAGCCAAACGUUUAUCAGCAACCUCGUCAAUGUUGUCCAUCAUCAAGUUAUAGAAGUCUAUUGCCGAUAAAUCAUUUUGUUUGGCUAUUCUCAAAGCAUUCAAAUUUACUUCCACCGGUAAAACAGCCUCCUGACCAUAUACUAGCUCAUAUGGAGUCACUUUCGUAGCACAAUGCCUUGAGAUUCUAUGUGCCCAUAAUGCCUCAGACAACAAGUCAUGCCAUCUCCUUGGAUUAUCCUCAAUCUUCUUUUUGAUGAGCUUGAUUAAAAUUUUAUUGCUAGACUCGGCUUGUCCAUUAGCUUGGGAAUAAUACGGAGAGGAAUUGAGCAACUUUAUAUUAUAAGAUUCGGCAAACUCUCUGACUUGGUGUGACAUAAAAGAUGAACCUUGAUCUGUAGUUAAUGUUUGAGGAAUACCGAAUCUAUGAAUAAUGUGCUUAGUUAUGAAUUGAAUUACCUCCGUAUGUGUCAUGUUCUUGAGAGGUACUGCUUCAGACCAUUUAGUGAAAUAAUCAGUUGCCACCAACACGAAUCGAUGCCCCUUUGAGGAAGAUGGAUGAAUUUGCCCAAUAAAAUCUAAACCCCAUCCUCUGAAAGGCCACGGCUUGAUAAUAGGAUGCAACAUAGCAGCAGGAGCCAAUUGAAUAUCACCAAAUUUUUGACAAGCUUCGCACCCUUUAUAAUAUCUGAAGCAAUCAUUAAUCAUGGUCGGCCAAUAAAACCCAGCACGUCGUAAUAACCAUUUCAUCUUAGGAGCCGACUGGUGAGUACCACAAAUUCCCUCAUGUACCUCUCCCAUAGCAACUCUUGCUUGGUCCUCAUCCAAGCAUUUUAAAAGAACAUCAUCAACUGUUCGGCGAUAAAGGUCAUCAUCCCUUAUAGUAUAUUUAAAAGCCAUACGCCGAACAGCCCUGUCCACCCUUUCACUCGGAUUGCGCAAGUAAGCAACAAUGGGCUUCCUCCAGUCGGAAUUGUCAUCUGCACUAGAUUUUUUGUUAAUGACCGAAUCAGUGGGUUCAGGUUCGGCCUCUCCCAUAUUGGCAAGACAAGAUAUCGGUCUUUGAGAAAUAUGAAACAUGCCACGAUCAACAUGAUAUCUAGAUGCUUGUUGUGCCAACUCAUUUGCUUUCCAAUUGUCAUGUCUAGAUAUAUGUGCAAUGCUAAAACAAUCCAAAGUAGAAAUUAUAUCUAGACAUUUAUCAAGAUAAACAUUAAGUGAUUCGUCCAAACACUGAAAGACUCUGGAUAUUUGCUGCACCACUAGUAACGAAUCACCGUAAGCCUCAAUAUGUGUAACACCUAUAGCAAGUAACAUCUCUAGACCGAAUAACAAUGCUUCAUAUUCGGCUUGAUUGUUUGUGCAAAAAUUUUCUAAGCGGCAUGAGGCUUCAAAAAUAGCACCACGAGGAGAUAUAUAAACAAUACCAACACCUUGGCCAUUGCUACAAACUGAACCAUCAAAGUACAAUCUCCAUGGCACUAAUGAAACAAGGUUCAUAUCAACAUCAUGCUUGUCAUUAAUCCGAUGUUCAACAAUGAAAUUAGCAACAAUUUGACCUUUCAUGGAUUUUAGAGAUUCAUAAGCCAAAUCAUACUCAAUCAAAGCAUAAGCCCACUUGCCAAUUCUACCACUAAGAAUUGGCCUAUGCAACAUGUACUUAAUGACAUCGGUUUGACAAGCUACUACACAAGCACUCGGCACUAGGUAAUGUCUCAAUUUUGUGCAAGCGUAAUACAAACAUAGACAUAGUUUUUCAAUAAAUGUAUACCUUGUCUCGGCGUCCAAUAAACGUCUGCUCAAAUAUGUAAUGGCAUGUUCUUUUCCUUCGGUAUCUUGAGUCAAAACAGCACCAAUAACACCUUCCUUUGCUGCGAUAUAAAGUUUAAAAGGCUCUCUAUGCUUUGGUGCUUUCAUCACCGGAGGAGUGCACAAAUAAUUCUUGAUCAUAUCAAAGGCUUCUUGCUGUUUUGCUCCCCAAGUGAAAUCAACAUCAUUUUUUAACCGAAGGAUAGGAGUAAAUGCAUCAACUUUCCCUGACAGAUUAGCUAUGAACCUUCUCAAAUAAUUUACCUUGCCAAGGAACUUUUGCAUAUCUCUCUUGCAUGUUGGAGCCUCCACUUUCUGUAUAGCCUCUAUCUUUUUGGGAUCGAUUUUGAUGCCAUCUUCAUGAAUAAUGAAACCCAAAAAUUUGCCAGCUGACACGCCAAAUGCACACUUCAAAGGAUUCAUCUUCAGUCCAUACUUUUUCAUCCUUUCGAAAGCUAAACGCAAAUCGGCCAAGUGAGAUUCAAAAGCAUCCGAUUUGACAACAAUAUCAUCAAUAUAAACUUCAAGUAUGACACCGAGUAAAUCAUGAAAAAUCAAAUUCAUAUCCCUUUGAUAUGUGGCCCCGGCAUUUUUCAAUCCGAAUGUCAUCACUGUCCACUCGAAUAAACCAAGGAAACCAGGACAUCGGAAAGCUGUUUUGUACAUGUCCUCUGCGGCCAUAAAAAUUGGAUUGUAUCCGGCAUUACCAUCUAGAAAGCUAAUAACCUUAUGUCCAGAAGCAUCAUUAAUAAGCAUAUCGGCUAUUGGCAUGGGAUACUCAUCUUUGGGUGUAGCCCUAUUCACAUCUCUGAAGUCAAUGCACACCCUCAACUUGCCGGAUCCCUUCUUCUCCACUGGGACAAUGUUAGAAAUCCACUCGGCAUACCUACAAGGUCGAAUGAAUUUAGCUUCAAGCAGUCGACCGAUCUCUUCCUUGAUCCGGUCAUAUGUUUUUGGAUCAAACUUUCUGGCCGACUGUUUAUAAGGUCUAAAACCGGCCUUUAUAGGCAACCGAUGCUCCACUAGCUCUCGGCUCAACCCUGGCAUCUCAUGAUAUUCCCAUGCAAAGCAACAAACAUAUUCUUUCAAUAGCUCGAUUAACUUAGUUUUACAAUCGGCUUUCAAAUUUUUGUUUAUAAAUGUCGGUCGACUGACUGAUCCAUCUCCGAUAUCUACCUCUUCUAACGGAUCGGCCGAUGUAAAACCUUGUCCAAGUUUAUCCAUAUCAUCCAACUCCUCAAUAGACUCAUACAUAUCGUUCUCGCUGGACCGAUAUUUUGCAAGACGUUUUUGUAACCACUCGGAAUUAGGAUCCAUUUAAACAUAUCAUACCUUGGAGCUGAUUGCAUUCAGUCGGCUUUAAAGACACGGGCACAAAACCAUUCUUGGUCGCACUGAGAAAAUCAAACUCUGAUAAGUCACGCCCCGUCAAGCAAGUAGCAUUGGGAUGUUGCCAAUCCACCGAUGCAUCGGCCAAAGCAACACAGGCCGAGUUAUCCGCAUGAAUGACUUCCACUUCAUCAUCAACCCACUGAAUAAAAAACUGGUGCAUAGUGGAUGGCACGCACUGGUUUGCAUGAACCCAAUCACGACCUAGUAUAACAUUGUAGUUACCUUGCACCUCAGCGACAAAGAAUGCAGUGGCCAAAGUUUUGCUUCCGACUGUAAGCUCCACAUACAUUACACCUUUGGCUUCAGUUUUCUCUUUGCCUUCAAACCCGUUGAGCACCAUAUUGGUCUUGAUCAAUUCUUCAUCAGGCAAACCCAAUUUCUUGAAGACCGAAUAGGGCAUAAGAUUUACCACAGCACCUCCAUCCACAAGCAUCCGAGUGAGCGGUGACCCAUUGAUAUGACCUCUGAGAUAUAACGAUUUUAGAUGCGUCACUGGUUCUUUUGGCUUCUCGAAUAUUGCGUUCUUAGGGCCAAAAUCCAGCUGAGCAACUUCCCCUUCCUCAUCUACAGCACGAAACUCAGCAGGUAAGUAAUACACCAUAUUGAUAUCCAUACCUUCAUGAACCGGUGUAGAUUCAUAGUCCAACAUAUCAGCCUCUUCUCCAAGUGGAUCGACCGAUUCUGAAAUCUGGCCGAGUGAAGGAGAACUAAGAAGUGCCACAGACGAUGUAAUAGCUGUCACAUCAUGCUCUUUGGGUGGUGUAGGCACUUCUGUGAUAGAUGUAGAAGCUGAUGUAUCUUGUAUUUGUUUUGGCCUCCACACUUGUUUUGCUGGAACCAUGGGCUGAGUGUCAUUGAACAACUUAUCCCUUUGCUUCUCGGCCUCCUGCUCCGCCAUCUCUUGACUCCUUAACCUCUGUAGUUUCCUCUUCUGUGUCUUUGUUAGCCCUGGAGGACACCACUUUGGCUGAGUGUAUUUAGGAUCUCUCGUUUUUACCUGGCUGGUGCUUGCUUCAUGGUCAUUAGCCGAGUGCUUUGGCGCGAUAGAAAGUAUCAGCUCAGUCGAGUGGUUAUGCACAGUCGGCUGCUGUAUGGGGAAUGUUUCGGUGCCCAAGAUAAGUGAGUCAACAUCCAUUUUCUCCUUGCCUUUUCCUGACUCAACUGCUGCAAAACUUGGUGAUUUAACACGCCAUUCUUUCCGACUUUCCAGAUGCAUGAAAUUUCCACUCGGGCGCACCUUUUUACUUGGAUGGAAUCCACUCGGAUUGAUGUCAUUCAGAUGGUAUCCACUCGGAUGGAACUCACUCGGAUGAGAUCUACCCAUCCACAUUUUUUCACUCGGAUAGUUUUCACCUGGGUGCAUUCUUACACUCGGAUAAUUUCCAUCCGGUCGCAUAUUUUGACCAGCCGACUGAUAGUCGCCAAUGUUCAGUCGGCCAUUAUAUGAGUAUUCAAGUCGGCCCCAAACAGUUUGCCUCUGCUCUUCUGGAAACAGUGCCUUUGGUCCACUCGGUUUUGCAUACCAACUGAACAUAUCAUCUGAUGGUGACCUUGGUCGCUUCAAGUGUGAUGGCCGGUUAGAGCUGGGACCAGCCGACUGAUUAGCAUAUUUGGACAACAACAUAUCAAAAGUUGGCUUGAUCCGCUUGCGUUGCACUUUAGCUUCAUUCUUCUUCCACUUGCCAACUUCUGGACUCUUGGGCUUGACAAAUUUAACACGAGUAUUUUCUUGCACUUGCGGUUGCCCCCCGAGUGUAGGAUUCUUGAUGGUGAUUUUGAUCACUUCCUUGCCAUCGGGUUGCUUAUCAAGCACAACCUGUCUCCCCAAGACCUUGUUGUCUUCCUUGUCUUUCCUGGGCUCACCAACAAUGACAUUAGCUUUAUUAGCAGAUUCGGCUACCUCCGGCCGAAUGAGUAACUUCUUCCCUUCUAAAUCCAUGGCGUUCAUUGGAAAGGGUUGUUUAUCAACUUGCAUCUCAGAAAAGUUCAAUCGUCCGUCAUUAAUGGCCGAUUGUAUCUGUCGUCGAAAAACAUUGCAAUCAUUAGUAGCAUGAGAAAAAGAAUUAUGAUACUUGCAAUAAGCACGCCGUUUCAGCUCUUCAAACGGCGGUAAAGUAUGAGAUAUUCUAAUAAUCUUAGCAUGCAGCAAAGCAUCAAAUAUUCUAUCACACUUAGCAAUGUUAAAAGUAAACUUCAUCUCUUCAUCACGAUUCUUAUGAAUCGGUUUCAGAUCAUUGCAAGUAAAGGGUUUGGCCUUAGAUGGCCAAACAAAUUCAGUAGAAAAAACAUCACCCUCAUCGUCCGAGUGAUCACUGUCAUAUUCCACCAUAUUCAUCUUUGGACGAUCGGCUUUGUAUCUAUGCACUUCUUUGAGGUCUUUGCUUCGGCUUUCCUGAGCCAAAGCCCUUUGUAAGACUUGGUUGAUGUUUAAGAACUCGUAGCCUUCUAGCUUUUCUCUAAUGGGAGUUCUCAAACCACUCAGCACUAGGUCUGCCAAGUCUCUCUUGGUUAUCACCAAACUAAAACACCGGUUAUUCGUUUCUCUGAAUCUCUUGACGUAAUCGGAGACCGAUUCAUCAUGCUUCUGCUUAACCGAUGUUAGAUGUGACAACUUGAGUUCAUUGUCGCCGCUAUAAAAGUGAUCAUGAAAUUUCUGCUCUAGCUGCGACCAAACUCGAAUGGAACCAUGUGGUAAAGAAGAAAACCAUGAAAAUGCGGUACCAGUUAAUGACAAAGGAAAUAAACGCACUUUCAAUUCAUUCAAUGAGCCUGCCUCACCCAAUUGUGCUAAGUAUUGACUAACAUGCUCCCAUGUGGUUUUUGUGCCCUCUCCAUUGAACUUAACAAAAUCGGGAAUUUUAUAUCCUAGAGGGCACUGGAUAGCAUCAAAGUACUCGGGGUACGGCUUUUGGUAAAUCCGAUUCCGAGGUAACUCAACUCCAAAAUUCUCUCGAAGCAUCUUAGCCAUCUCCUCUCUAAGAUUAGCUAGACCAUCGUCCAUAGUGGACGAUGGAGCUUGUGGCAGUGGCAUAGGAGGGGUAGGGUUACUAGCUGUAGGUAAGAAUUGUGGCAUGUAUGUCGACCCAUAAUUUGGUAGUGGUCGAGUGGUUGUAGCUGUAGGUAGGGUUUGGUUCGGCGUCACCACCGAACCUGGCAUGCUCAUAAUAGGAUUAAUGGGUGCAGCCACAAUCUGAUUUGUUUGGGUAGGAUAAUAAGUCAUCGGCACGGGAGGCGCCGAUGAGAUAGGUAAAGCCAGAUUAGGGUUUUGCACACUAGCAGCUACACCAUCAUUACCACUAGUCGAUUGAGAUGUAUUCUUCUGAGCAUUAGUAUUUUCUAUGAAAGUUUGAUAGACUAGAUUGUUACCAUCAGCAAUACGACUUACAAUCUCAGCCCACUGCUCAGGAGAAAAGGCAGUACUUACAGAGGGUUUAACCUGUUUGGCUUGCAAAGGAGGGAACUUGAUUUCUUCAAUCGGAGUGAUGUUGCCUUGGUGAUCCUUCUUGAACUUUGCAAGGAACUCCUGCAAGUCCUUCUCCUCGCGCGCCUUCUUGUACUCCUCAUAGACUUGGCGAUGAUCGGCCGAUAUCUCAUCAAGACUGGGCUUAAUGAUGUUAUCAGCGUCUACCUCAGAUGACUUGGGAAGAUCGGACAUGGUGGAUGAUGAUGAUUGAUCUUCGUCCCCAGCGGAGUCGCCAAAAAGUGUGUUGACACACGAACACGUCACGUGUACCCUCGACGCCGGGGGUGAUGCACCGCAGCUCACGUCGAAGGAGACCCGACCGACAGCGCGAUACGCAAGACAGUCGGCGGGUGCUUUUGCAGACCCGAAACCCCGCGCACCCGGGAGGGACCCCGUCAGGGAUUGCGGUGGCUAUGGGCUGCCCUAGGUCGAUUCGCUCGCCCCUAGAGCCUCGGGAUUCGCAGCUCUCAAACACGAAGAACAGCGAAGAACGAGAUAGAAAAACGGUGGAGAGAUAAAAAGUAGACAGGAAAAAGUAGUAUAUUGAUUUGUUCGAUUGUGUGUUGUUCAAUCGGCCGUCACCCCCAACAUAUAUAAGAGGCGGCUGGACUUCCCGUACAAGUAAAGGAUUCAUCUAGGCUUUCCUUACAAGAAAAAUUACAUCAAUUCACGUCCUAGAGUCCUAGUUCUAUUCCAACUCGGAUCCAGUCUGAAUCUGGCCCAACUUCUGUCUUCCUCCUUGUGCAGCCCGCGGAGCCUCCAUAUGACCUCCGAUCAAGAUGGCCCAAAUAUCAAACUUGUGCGCCUCGACGAUACGAACAACUCUCAUAUUGAUCACUUUUUCAAAUAAGGCCAUCUUGAAUACUUUUCGACGUCAUCUUUACCUUCCAGUCGGACUCGGUCUUGCGGUAGACUGAAUUAUCCGAGUCUUGUAGUGAAUUUGCAGGCCAUAUACUAUCUUUGAUGACGAUGACUCCAACAGCAAAGUUAACCGUCUUGACGAUACGCACAACUUCUGUAUUGAACACUUCUUCAUCCGAGAUCAUCUUGAUAAACUUUUGGGCACAUGUUCAGUUUCACUCGGAUUUGAACUCAUCCACUCGGAUUUUAGAGUCUUUCACUCGGAUGGUCCGACUGGACUUUUUCACUCGGAUGACUAUAUUUUCACUCGGAAGACAAUCAAUCGGUAGGUUUUCACUCGACCUUUUACUCAAUCGGUAGGUUUUCACUCGACCUUUUACUCGAUCGGUAGGUUUUCACUCGACCUUUUACUAGAUCGGUAGGUUUUCACUCGACCUUUUACUCGAUCGGUAGGUUUUCACUCGACCNNNNNNNNNNNNNNNNNNNNNNNNNNNNNNNNNNNNNNNNNNNNNNNNNNNNNNNNNNNNNNNNNNNNNNNNNNNNNNNNNNNNNNNNNNNNNNNNNNNNNNNNNNNNNNNNNNNNNNNNNNNNNNNNNNNNNNNNNNNNNNNNNNNNNNNNNNNNNNNNNNNNNNNNNNNNNNNNNNNNNNNNNNNNNGGAUUUGAACUCAUCCACUCGGAUUUUAGAGUCUUUCACUCGGAUGGUCCGACUGGACUUUUUCACUCGGAUGACUAUAUUUUCACUCGGAAGACAAUCAAUCGGUAGGUUUUCACUCGACCUUUUACUCAAUCGGUAGGUUUUCACUCGACCUUUUACUCGAUCGGUAGGUUUUCACUCGACCUUUUACUCGAUCGGUAGGUUUUCACUCGACCUUUUACUCGAUCGGUAGGUUUUCACUCGACCGGUGACUCGAUCGGUAGGUUUUCACUCGACCGGUGAGUUUUCACUCGGAUGGUAAGCUUUCACUCGACCAAAAACAUAGCCUGAUCUUGAUUUGCCUCUCCAGGUUACAUACGACCACGGAUUGAGACGAAUUUUAUAUGAAAAUCGAUCGGCUCGACGAGACGAAACUUUUUCGUGUUGAAGGUUUUUCGAUUCAAGGACUUCUUAAGGGCCUAAUUACUCGCGCGACCCAUCAGACAUGGCGUCUGAUACUUUGCGCCAGAUUUCCACUCAGCUUCGGCCUGCAGUGUAUUGCCUCUAACUUUUGCAUAUGAACUCGGAUUGAGAUGAUUUAUAUAUCAAAAUCGAUCGCCUCGACGAGACGAAGACAAUUCCUUUAGAAU
This 18999-nucleotide long non-coding RNA is filed under the name Triticum aestivum (bread wheat). RNAcentral describes it as "long non-coding RNA (TAES_LNC007690)". The record is from RNAcentral. Lineage: Eukaryota; Viridiplantae; Streptophyta; Magnoliopsida; Poales; Poaceae.